GUGCGUUAGGGAUUGAUGCGGCAUCCUUUUUUUGCUAGAUUAAACUUAAAAAACCGACAAUAACCACUUGGUUUGUCUGUAAUUUAACAAAACCAACUUUAUAAAGUUGCAUAAAAAAAGAUAUAGCGGAAAGCCCGACCCUUG
Molecule: small RNA, 144 nt
Rfam family: Flavo-1 RNA